RNAcentral lists this long non-coding RNA (2886 nucleotides) under Musa acuminata (dwarf banana). Its description in RNAcentral is "long non-coding RNA (MACU_LNC001571)". The stretch from base 1533 to 1597 matches the Rfam family "Small nucleolar RNA snoR101". The record is from RNAcentral. Lineage: Eukaryota; Viridiplantae; Streptophyta; Magnoliopsida; Zingiberales; Musaceae.
AUUCAACGCUUUUUUCCGUGCGCUAGGGUUUGCCCAUCCUUCGGCUCCUCCUGUAGCAGCAUCUCACCCCGCGGUCGCCGUGGCGGCGAUGGAUCUUGCGGUGGACGGGAGGUGCGCGCUGCUGUUCGGGAGCGAGGUGGCUCUAGAAGUAUAGAUAGUCUUGUUUAAAAUAUCUUGGUACGUGUUUUCAAGUGUUCUUAUCUGUAUCUUGAAUGAUGUAUUUUAUCUCCUAUGCUUAUUUCUUCCAUUUACUUGUGCAUUUUUGUCACCCCCUCAGUUUUUAGUCGACAAGCAACUCGUUUCUUUGUGUUUGAUGCAUCCUGGGAGAUUAAGACUGCAACUAGGAGCUUCUGGUUGACUAUUAAGACAAGAUAUUUUUGACUGCAUCAACAAGUGGUAGAGCUAUGAUUUAUCAAAAAGGAAACAAUUCAGAAGAAAUUAAUCUUUUGUUAUAAGAUAUCAGUAGUAUUGUUUAUGCUGUGAGAAUAAACAAUAACAAAACUGUAAGUCCUAAUAUUUGAGAUCGACUACUACAUAUAACCGUAAGGUCAUAUGUUUAGUUAAUUUAAGUGUAUUUAAAUUUUUAUUUAUAGUAUCUACUGUUAAAGUAUUUUUAAUUUUUUUUAUCUCCCAUGUCACUAAAAUUAAUCAUUUCAUCUCUUCUGUCACGUUUGUAGGUUUGUUGAGCACAUGUCCAUACCCUCUUGAAUGAUUCUAUUUAAUUUUAUCUUCUAUCGAAGUAAUAUCUAAUUGUUGAUGAAUAAAAAUAUUUUUUUCUUAUCAUUCUCGGUAACAACACACAUAGGGGUGAAAAAUCAAAGAGCAAGAUCCAAGAGACUAUAACAGAGACUAAUUGGGAUCUCUUGCAACCAAAAUUUGGUACUGGUCAUCCUUAAAAUUGAACAGAAGAAGUGGAUUUUAUAUAAAUGUAAUAUAUGAUAUGCAACAUUUUUUUUUUGUUGAUGGUCAACCUCAACAUCUUAUGAGAGAAGCUAACAAAUUUCUUCAAACUGUCAGUUGUUGUGAACUUAGUCAAAGACACUCAUAGAGCUCCGUUUGGAACUAGUACUAUGUUUUUGUCUUCAGCCAGAAACUAGCAUGGGCUAGGAAACAUUCUUAUCAUUAUUCCAGCAAACAAAUGUGAGGGAACCAAGCUUAGAAUAUUAGUUUUACUAAAUUUUACAAAAAAAAAUAGAUGCUGGUUAAUAGUGUCUUGUGAUAGCUCUUGGGUUUUCCGAUGAGUGCAAUUCAGAUAUACAAUUUGAGUUUCUAAUAAUGUUUUUUUCUAAGCAUUCUAGGAAGGCCUUGCAUGUGCAGGCUUCGCACUGGCAUUCUGUGCACGAUUCUCCUACAUUCUAGAUGCUGAUCAUUGCCAAUGGGGCCUAAGCCAUUUGGCCAAUCACUAAUCACAGGACAGAUUAAUGUUAGAGAACUUCUGACUUGGGCCUGAAUGUUUUCACUCCUAAGUUUGUAUUCCCUCCUUUCUCCUAUUUGCUUUCUGCUUUUAUACAAAAAACAUUGUGCAUAUGAUGGCUUUACACUUGAUCUCUGAGCUUUCAGGUAAGUAAUAUGCUGACCAGAACUCUCUGCUGAUGCACAAGUUUCUUUUUUUACUUUUUUCCCUUUUUGCUUGGUUUUUAUGAUAUUAGUGUCAAUCAAUGCAGUUUCAUUGUUAGAGUGUCGCUUAGCAGAGCUUUUUCAUUUUUCUCGGAUAUCCUCUUCUAGUAUGUUUCUGUGAAUUUUUAUUUAAAUUUAGUGCCAUCCUCGUUUGUGUUUCAAUUCUUUGAUUUAGGAAGGUUGUGAUUCUCAAAGACAAUUGGGCUUCUCUAUCUCAAGUUUGAUAGGGCAACAUGACCUUGAUGGAAUGCUUCUACAUGAGGGGUUAAAUUGGUAUCUCUCAAUCAAGAUAGACAUUGGUAUCUCUCAAUCAUAGUCCCAUAACAAGAUAGACAUUGGUAUCUCUCAAUCAUAGUCCCAUAACCUCUUUUAAUUUUGUUUUUAAGAUGUGACUUACAUUGUGUUUUGUACCUUUAUGUCGUGGCUGAGGUGUCGGCAUGGUUGGGUUCGUCCCGAGUGUGCAAGAUCACCAGCAUGGCCUCUGAGCUGGAGCGUGUUAACCCGAGGUUUGGUUGAGUGGGGGUAGACCUUGUUCUCUUAGGUGGAGGCUGAAGGUCACUCAUUUAGUUGUCCGUUGGGUGCUUGCACACAGGUCAUAAUCGGGAGGGGGAUUUUCGACCCGACCCCUCCGCUGCUUAAGCUAGCAAGAAUUGGAGAUGAGAGAGUUGGAGUGUGUGUGUGUGUGUGUGUAUAUUUGAGGUCCGACCCCAAUGCUAUUCUUGGGGGUGGCUUUAAUACUUGUUGUCGUGUGUUGACGUGCGUAGCUGUUAAUGGUCAUCGACGUCUUCAUACACAUGUGUUUAAAGAUGUCGUCGCCAUGGGUGGUCAGCUUGUAUGUUGGGACACGGGUGCAAUCUGAUAUGUCUGGCCCUGCUUCAUUUGGUGUUGCUUUGGAGUAGCUCAAGACGGGGCUACGUUGCUUCGUACAGCCUCUUGGUGCAAUGUGCUGGUGCAAUGUGCUAGCAACGUAGAUGACAAGCGGCUGCCUCGUUCAGAUCAGGGAUGUUGAGUUGGCUCAGUGUGCUUUGGAACGUUGUGCCAGGUCCGUGUUUGUGGAGUUGAUGCUAGAAUAUGCUAUAAUCACAUUGUAUUAGAUUUAACUAUUUAUGAGCGUAAUUUGAUCUUGGAAUUUUACUCGUAUGUGUUUGGUUGUAUGGAAGAUUUGUGGAUAACUCUUUCUUUUGUGAGCUUCUUUGCGAUUGUUUGUUCCUAAAACAGCUUCUGUUUCCCUUUAAGAAACAAGUAUUUACUCAUGGAAUUCUUACAAUU